RNAcentral lists this ribosomal RNA (2902 nucleotides) under Escherichia marmotae. Its description in RNAcentral is "bacterial LSU rRNA". It matches the Rfam family "Bacterial large subunit ribosomal RNA". The record is from RNAcentral. Lineage: Bacteria; Pseudomonadati; Pseudomonadota; Gammaproteobacteria; Enterobacterales; Enterobacteriaceae.
UUAAGCGACUAAGCGUACACGGUGGAUGCCCUGGCAGUCAGAGGCGAUGAAGGACGUGCUAAUCUGCGAUAAGCGUCGGUAAGGUGAUAUGAACCGUUAUAACCGGCGAUUUCCGAAUGGGGAAACCCAGUGUGAUCCGUCACACUAUCAUUAACUGAAUCCAUAGGUUAAUGAGGCGAACCGGGGGAACUGAAACAUCUAAGUACCCCGAGGAAAAGAAAUCAACCGAGAUUCCCCCAGUAGCGGCGAGCGAACGGGGAGGAGCCCAGAGCCUGAAUCAGUGUGUGUGUUAGUGGAAGCGUCUGGAAAGGCGUGCGAUACAGGGUGACAGCCCCGUACACAAAAAUGCACAUGCUGUGAGCUCGAUGAGUAGGGCGGGACACGUGGUAUCCUGUCUGAAUAUGGGGGGACCAUCCUCCAAGGCUAAAUACUCCUGACUGACCGAUAGUGAACCAGUACCGUGAGGGAAAGGCGAAAAGAACCCCGGCGAGGGGAGUGAAAAAGAACCUGAAACCGUGUACGUACAAGCAGUGGGAGCCUCUUUAAUGGGGUGACUGCGUACCUUUUGUAUAAUGGGUCAGCGACUUAUAUUCUGUAGCAAGGUUAACCGAAUAGGGGAGCCGAAGGGAAACCGAGUCUUAACUGGGCGUUAAGUUGCAGGGUAUAGACCCGAAACCCGGUGAUCUAGCCAUGGGCAGGUUGAAGGUUGGGUAACACUAACUGGAGGACCGAACCGACUAAUGUUGAAAAAUUAGCGGAUGACUUGUGGCUGGGGGUGAAAGGCCAAUCAAACCGGGAGAUAGCUGGUUCUCCCCGAAAGCUAUUUAGGUAGCGCCUCGUGAAUUCAUCUCCGGGGGUAGAGCACUGUUUCGGCAAGGGGGUCAUCCCGACUUACCAACCCGAUGCAAACUGCGAAUACCGGAGAAUGUUAUCACGGGAGACACACGGCGGGUGCUAACGUCCGUCGUGAAGAGGGAAACAACCCAGACCGCCAGCUAAGGUCCCAAAGUCAUGGUUAAGUGGGAAACGAUGUGGGAAGGCCCAGACAGCCAGGAUGUUGGCUUAGAAGCAGCCAUCAUUUAAAGAAAGCGUAAUAGCUCACUGGUCGAGUCGGCCUGCGCGGAAGAUGUAACGGGGCUAAACCAUGCACCGAAGCUGCGGCAGCGACACUAUGUGUUGUUGGGUAGGGGAGCGUUCUGUAAGCCGUUGAAGGUGGCCUGUGAGGGUUGCUGGAGGUAUCAGAAGUGCGAAUGCUGACAUAAGUAACGAUAAAGCGGGUGAAAAGCCCGCUCGCCGGAAGACCAAGGGUUCCUGUCCAACGUUAAUCGGGGCAGGGUGAGUCGACCCCUAAGGCGAGGCCGAAAGGCGUAGUCGAUGGGAAACAGGUUAAUAUUCCUGUACUUGGUGUUACUGCGAAGGGGGGACGGAGAAGGCUAUGUUGGCCGGGCGACGGUUGUCCCGGUUUAAGCGUGUAGGCUGAUUUUCCAGGCAAAUCCGGAGAAUCAAGGCUGAGGCGUGAUGACGAGGCACUACGGUGCUGAAGCAACAAAUGCCCUGCUUCCAGGAAAAGCCUCUAAGCAUCAGGUAACAUCAAAUCGUACCCCAAACCGACACAGGUGGUCAGGUAGAGAAUACCAAGGCGCUUGAGAGAACUCGGGUGAAGGAACUAGGCAAAAUGGUGCCGUAACUUCGGGAGAAGGCACGCUGAUAUGUAGGUGAAGCGACUUGCUCGUGGAGCUGAAAUCAGUCGAAGAUACCAGCUGGCUGCAACUGUUUAUUAAAAACACAGCACUGUGCAAACACGAAAGUGGACGUAUACGGUGUGACGCCUGCCCGGUGCCGGAAGGUUAAUUGAUGGGGUCAGCCGCAAGGCGAAGCUCUUGAUCGAAGCCCCGGUAAACGGCGGCCGUAACUAUAACGGUCCUAAGGUAGCGAAAUUCCUUGUCGGGUAAGUUCCGACCUGCACGAAUGGCGUAAUGAUGGCCAGGCUGUCUCCACCCGAGACUCAGUGAAAUUGAACUCGCUGUGAAGAUGCAGUGUACCCGCGGCAAGACGGAAAGACCCCGUGAACCUUUACUAUAGCUUGACACUGAACAUUGAGCCUUGAUGUGUAGGAUAGGUGGGAGGCUUUGAAGUGUGGACGCCAGUCUGCAUGGAGCCGACCUUGAAAUACCACCCUUUAAUGUUUGAUGUUCUAACGUGGACCCGUGAUCCGGGUUGCGGACAGUGUCUGGUGGGUAGUUUGACUGGGGCGGUCUCCUCCUAAAGAGUAACGGAGGAGCACGAAGGUUGGCUAAUCCUGGUCGGACAUCAGGAGGUUAGUGCAAUGGCAUAAGCCAGCUUGACUGCGAGCGUGACGGCGCGAGCAGGUGCGAAAGCAGGUCAUAGUGAUCCGGUGGUUCUGAAUGGAAGGGCCAUCGCUCAACGGAUAAAAGGUACUCCGGGGAUAACAGGCUGAUACCGCCCAAGAGUUCAUAUCGACGGCGGUGUUUGGCACCUCGAUGUCGGCUCAUCACAUCCUGGGGCUGAAGUAGGUCCCAAGGGUAUGGCUGUUCGCCAUUUAAAGUGGUACGCGAGCUGGGUUUAGAACGUCGUGAGACAGUUCGGUCCCUAUCUGCCGUGGGCGCUGGAGAACUGAGGGGGGCUGCUCCUAGUACGAGAGGACCGGAGUGGACGCAUCACUGGUGUUCGGGUUGUCAUGCCAAUGGCACUGCCCGGUAGCUAAAUGCGGAAGAGAUAAGUGCUGAAAGCAUCUAAGCACGAAACUUGCCCCGAGAUGAGUUCUCCCUGAGACUUUAAGUCUCCUGAAGGAACGUUGAAGACGACGACGUUGAUAGGCCGGGUGUGUAAGCGCAGCGAUGCGUUGAGCUAACCGGUACUAAUGAACCGUGAGGCUUAACCU